This 2902-nucleotide transfer RNA is filed under the name Streptococcus pneumoniae. RNAcentral describes it as "bacterial SSU rRNA". The stretch from base 1362 to 2902 matches the Rfam family "Bacterial small subunit ribosomal RNA". The record is from RNAcentral. Lineage: Bacteria; Bacillati; Bacillota; Bacilli; Lactobacillales; Streptococcaceae.
AGAGUUUGAUCCUGGCUCAGGACGAACGCUGGCGGCGUGCCUAAUACAUGCAAGUAGAACGCUGAAGGAGGAGCUUGCUUCUCUGGAUGAGUUGCGAACGGGUGAGUAACGCGUAGGUAACCUGCCUGGUAGCGGGGGAUAACUAUUGGAAACGAUAGCUAAUACCGCAUAAGAGUAGAUGUUGCAUGACAUUUGCUUAAAAGGUGCACUUGCAUCACUACCAGAUGGACCUGCGUUGUAUUAGCUAGUUGGUGGGGUAACGGCUCACCAAGGCGACGAUACAUAGCCGACCUGAGAGGGUGAUCGGCCACACUGGGACUGAGACACGGCCCAGACUCCUACGGGAGGCAGCAGUAGGGAAUCUUCGGCAAUGGACGGAAGUCUGACCGAGCAACGCCGCGUGAGUGAAGAAGGUUUUCGGAUCGUAAAGCUCUGUUGUAAGAGAAGAACGAGUGUGAGAGUGGAAAGUUCNUUACGCUAUUAUCGUCUUUAUCACUAGUCGAUCAGAGUUUGCGACUCUAACCUAUAAAUACCAGGUAUCAGCCCUAGAUUUUGUUGAUAAGGAUAUCAAUGAUGAGAUGUUUAAGAAGAGAAUUGAGCAAAAUAUCUUCUACACGAAGAGUAUGUUACUUGAAAAUGAAGAUGUUGUAGAUUAUUUCGACUACAAUUACAAGGGAAAUGAUUUAAAAAUUCCUUACCAUGAUAUUUUGUAUAUUGAAACAACAGGGGUCUCUCAUAAAUUGCGCAUUAUUGGUAAGAAUUUUGCAAAAGAGUUUUAUGGUACCAUGACAGAUAUUCAGGAAAAGGACAAACAUACUCAGCGAUUUUAUUCUCCUCACAAGUCAUUUUUGGUAAAUAUAGGCAAUAUCAGAGAAAUUGAUCGAAAAAACUUAGAAAUUGUUUUCUAUGAAGACCAUCGUUGUCCUAUUUCAAGAUUAAAAAUUAGAAAAUUAAAAGAUAUUUUAGAGAAAAAAUCUCAAAAGUGAUUGACAAUUAGCAAGAAAUUGAUAUAAUGGUUAUAUCUGCUACAGAUAGAAGGUCCGUUGGUCAAGGGGUUAAGACACCGCCUUUUCACGGCGGUAACACGGGUUCGAAUCCCGUACGGACUAUGGUAUGUUGCGGUUGGAACACUUGAUGAAAAAAAGUUUAAAAAAACUUAAAAAUCUUCAAAAAAGUGUUGACAAGCGAAAGCAGUUGUGAUAUACUAAUAUAGUUGUCGCUUGAGAGAAGCAAGUGACAAAGACCUUUGAAAACUGAACAAGACGAACCAAUGUGCAGGGCGCUACAACAUAAGUUGUAGUACUGAACAAUGAAAAAAACAAUAAAUCUGUCAGUGACAGAAAUGAGUGAGAACUCAAACUUUUAAUGAGAGUUUGAUCCUGGCUCAGGACGAACGCUGGCGGCGUGCCUAAUACAUGCAAGUAGAACGCUGAAGGAGGAGCUUGCUUCUCUGGAUGAGUUGCGAACGGGUGAGUAACGCGUAGGUAACCUGCCUGGUAGCGGGGGAUAACUAUUGGAAACGAUAGCUAAUACCGCAUAAGAGUAGAUGUUGCAUGACAUUUGCUUAAAAGGUGCACUUGCAUCACUACCAGAUGGACCUGCGUUGUAUUAGCUAGUUGGUGGGGUAACGGCUCACCAAGGCGACGAUACAUAGCCGACCUGAGAGGGUGAUCGGCCACACUGGGACUGAGACACGGCCCAGACUCCUACGGGAGGCAGCAGUAGGGAAUCUUCGGCAAUGGACGGAAGUCUGACCGAGCAACGCCGCGUGAGUGAAGAAGGUUUUCGGAUCGUAAAGCUCUGUUGUAAGAGAAGAACGAGUGUGAGAGUGGAAAGUUCACACUGUGACGGUAUCUUACCAGAAAGGGACGGCUAACUACGUGCCAGCAGCCGCGGUAAUACGUAGGUCCCGAGCGUUGUCCGGAUUUAUUGGGCGUAAAGCGAGCGCAGGCGGUUAGAUAAGUCUGAAGUUAAAGGCUGUGGCUUAACCAUAGUAGGCUUUGGAAACUGUUUAACUUGAGUGCAAGAGGGGAGAGUGGAAUUCCAUGUGUAGCGGUGAAAUGCGUAGAUAUAUGGAGGAACACCGGUGGCGAAAGCGGCUCUCUGGCUUGUAACUGACGCUGAGGCUCGAAAGCGUGGGGAGCAAACAGGAUUAGAUACCCUGGUAGUCCACGCUGUAAACGAUGAGUGCUAGGUGUUAGACCCUUUCCGGGGUUUAGUGCCGUAGCUAACGCAUUAAGCACUCCGCCUGGGGAGUACGACCGCAAGGUUGAAACUCAAAGGAAUUGACGGGGGCCCGCACAAGCGGUGGAGCAUGUGGUUUAAUUCGAAGCAACGCGAAGAACCUUACCAGGUCUUGACAUCCCUCUGACCGCUCUAGAGAUAGAGUUUUCCUUCGGGACAGAGGUGACAGGUGGUGCAUGGUUGUCGUCAGCUCGUGUCGUGAGAUGUUGGGUUAAGUCCCGCAACGAGCGCAACCCCUAUUGUUAGUUGCCAUCAUUUAGUUGGGCACUCUAGCGAGACUGCCGGUAAUAAACCGGAGGAAGGUGGGGAUGACGUCAAAUCAUCAUGCCCCUUAUGACCUGGGCUACACACGUGCUACAAUGGCUGGUACAACGAGUCGCAAGCCGGUGACGGCAAGCUAAUCUCUUAAAGCCAGUCUCAGUUCGGAUUGUAGGCUGCAACUCGCCUACAUGAAGUCGGAAUCGCUAGUAAUCGCGGAUCAGCACGCCGCGGUGAAUACGUUCCCGGGCCUUGUACACACCGCCCGUCACACCACGAGAGUUUGUAACACCCGAAGUCGGUGAGGUAACCGUAAGGAGCCAGCCGCCUAAGGUGGGAUAGAUGAUUGGGGUGAAGUCGUAACAAGGUAGCCGUAUCGGAAGGUGCGGCUGGAUCACCU